GAAGGACGGGGGAGGACCGCUGCUUCCGGCGCCGUAACUGCUGCCAUCUUCUCCGCGCUAUGGCUGCGUUCGGCCGUCAGGGAAAUUAAAGAGGGUGCUUUACUGUUGCCCUGAAAUUUUCACCAUGCGCCAGCAGGACAUUAACGACACUGUCAGGCUUCUCAAGGAGAAGUGCCUUUUCACGGUACAGCAAGUCACCAAGAUUUUGCACAGUUGCCCCUCUGUUCUUCGAGAGGACCUGGGUCAACUGGAAUACAAGUUUCAGCCUCGUCUUACAGCGUGACUGCAAAGAAAAAGACUUUUGUUUUGCAAAAGAAAAGCAGCUCGGUGACUCCGUCCACAUCGCCACAGUUGAGUCAGAUGGCAGUGGCAGUCCUUUGCCAGUGGAAGGAGUUCCUGCUAAGGGGAGGUGCAGGAGGACUAAUUUAUUAUUGUGCAACUGCCAGUCCUGCGCAUUCCAGCUACGCUAAGCGCCCUGCCCAGGCACGUAACAAAACAUAGACCUGUUUUGAAGUGGCUUGUUACCCAAGGGUGCCUCACUCAUCUGCGCCACCAGGAAGAUGAACUGUGAGGGCU
RNAcentral lists this long non-coding RNA (576 nucleotides) under Homo sapiens (human). Its description in RNAcentral is "non-protein coding lnc-MTERF4-3:4". The record is from RNAcentral. Lineage: Eukaryota; Metazoa; Chordata; Mammalia; Primates; Hominidae.